Long non-coding RNA from Zeugodacus cucurbitae (melon fly), 5150 nucleotides. RefSeq lists it as uncharacterized. The transcript is spliced from 4 exons. Lineage: Eukaryota; Metazoa; Arthropoda; Insecta; Diptera; Tephritidae. The record is from RefSeq and is a predicted model, not a curated record.
AAUAUCUCUGAAUAAAACGCAUUAUAUUUCGAACGCAGCGGGAUACAUUACUUACGUAAUUGACAUGUUCCAACUGAAAAGGAAGGUUGAGAGGUUGAACAAGAGGUGUCUAUGACGAUUGGAGCGUAACAAAUAAAAUUGGAGCGAUGUAAGCAGGCAGCAUAUUCAGGGUGGUCCAUUGUACUGAGAAAACAUGUGGAUGAGAAUUACAUAGCGUGUGUUACACGACUGCGAAAUCCACAGGUGAUGAUUUUCCGUUUCAACACAAGAGAUUCACUAAAACUUAAUGAUUCAUGAUUACUCACAGAAAAUUUAAUUAAAAUAUCUCGAAGUUGAUAAAAAUUUUCUUCCGUUUAAAAGAAAAUUUCUUGAGAUUGACUCAUCUCUUUUGAGAUUGCGCUGAAGAUCGCCAAAUUUUGUUAUUUCUACAAUUCGAUUUUCGCUUAUUUUGGCAGAAUUUAAUGCGGUUUCCGUGGAAAGGUGUUUGGAUAAUGAAAUUAUUCAUAUUUUCGCGCUAAAUUCAUUAUUUGAAUACUAUAAAUCCGUUAUACUUGAAAAUCUUACACAAAUAUUUUGAGAAAAAAUUAAUAAAAUAAAAAAAUAUUCCAUAAUUAAUAAUAUUUUAAUAUACACAUGCCUGCCAAUUAAUUGUAUUACUUGGUGUUGUUGUUUUUUUUUUUUUUUUAAUUUUGAGAGCUGCGCCAAUUUCAGCGCCGCAAGAGUUCAGUGAAAUUCCGUUAGGUCAUCCACUUCUUUAUGGACGCAGCACUUUUGAAACAUUAAUGAAAUAAAAAAAAUUUGCGCACAACUCCAUACACUUGCGCUGUACCAAACUAACGUUAUUGUUGUUGCGUGGGCAAAUUGCCAAAUGAUUCCUCAAUAACAUUAAAAAAUUAUAAAUAAAUUCAAUCGCAUAUCGUUGGCGGCAACGUCUAUGAAUCGACCGACUGGCUGCAUGACAAAUAUUACAACAAAACGCAGGCAAGUAUUUAACACAAGUGGCAGAGCACCGCACAUUGAUUGUGAAGAGGAGAGGCGCAAAGAGGACCGUAGUAUAAACACACUUAACGAAAUUGGUCGUACGCGUCCGACACUUAAGUGUACAAAAGUGAAUUGGGCGCAGCUAAGAGUAGUUUCGAUUUUAUACAGCAAAUGCUAGUGAAUUGCGUAAGCGCUGGUGUGAAUGAUGGGUGUUCAAUGAUAAUUGGCGUCAGAGGUGAGAAUUUAGGCAAUCAUAUGUAGAAAGUUCUUGGAAUAAUACAAAAUUGCAAUAAUUGUAAUUAUUUUUUAAUGAAACUACGAAUUUUAUGGUUCUUCAUAGUUUAUAUUUGCUUAAUGCAAGCUGCGCCUGAAUGUAGGCAACAGUUCAGAUGUUUUUCUCUUUUUUUUACAAAUCCAUGAUUUAUUUUUGCAAUUUCAAAUUUAUAAAGAUAUAUUUAAAUUAUAUUCGUGCUUGAUAUUGUUUUAAAUUUAGUUUUGAAAUAUACUGCAAAAGCUUGUUUGUGAAGUAAUACAUUUUUCGACUGAUUUUUGAAGAUUUUUCUUAGAUAUUAACUGAAAUAAACAUUUCAAUUUUUAAUUUAUUUAUUUAUAAGCGAAAAGCUAUUUUUUUUAUACUCUCGCAACAAAUGUUGCUAAAGAGAGUAUUAUAGUUUUGUUCACAUAACGGUUGUUUGUAACACCCAAAACUAAACGAGUUAGAUAUAGGGUUAUAUAUACCAAAGUGAUCAGGGUGAAGAGUGGAGUUCAAAUCCGAAUGUCUGUCUGUCCGUCCGUCCGUCUGUGCAAGCUGUAACUUGAGUAAAAAUUAAGAUAUCUUGAUGAAACUUGGCACACUUAUUUCUUGGCACCAUAGGAAGGUUGCUUUCGAAAAUGAGCAAAAUCGGACCACUGCCACGCCCACAAAAUGGCGAAAACCGAAAACACAUAAAGGGCCAUAACUAAGCCAUAAAUAAAGCUAUUGAAAUAAAAUUUGAUAUGAAGGAUCGCACUAUGAAGGGGCAUAUUGGGAUGUAAUUUUUUUGGGGAAGGGGCGUGGCCCCGCCCACUACUAAGUUUUUUGUAUAUAUCUCGCAAACCAAUAGAGCUAUAUAAACCAAACAUUCUGCAGUCGUUUUUUUUAGACACGUCCUCAUACAGUCCAAAAAUUAAAGAAAUCGGAUCAUAACCACGCCCACCUCCCAUACAAAAGUUAGGUUGAAAAUUACUAAAAGUGGGUUAACUCACUAAAGGAAAACGUCAGAAACACUAAAUUUCACAUAAGAUUUGGCAGAUGAAAGCUGCACUCAGAUUUUUUUACAAAAUGGAAAAUGGGCGUGGCGUCGCCCACUUAUGGGUCAAAAACCAUAUCUCAGGAACUACUCGACCGAUUUCAAUGAAACUUGGUUUGUAAUAGUUUCCUUACAUCCCAAUGAAAUGUUGUGAAAAUAGGCCAAAUCGCUUCACAACCACGCCUACAUCCUAUAUACCAGAACUUUGAAGACAAUCUGAAUCGUUUACUUUACAAUAUAUAAAGUAAGUACUAGUGAAGAUAUCGGUGCAGAACUUUGCACAAAUACUACGUUUAUAGUGUGGCAGCCCCAUUCUAAAAAUCGCCGAAAUCGGACCAUAGGUUUUUAAGGCCCCAUAUAGCGAACACGAGGACCUCGGUGCUUCUAACCUAAUAUUAUGGUUUCCAACUUUCAAUGGACUUUAUACAAUAUAUAUGACGAAUAUGUGGGUCAAAUUGUGUAUUAUAUAAUGUAAAUAAAGUUAAAUAAAUAAAUUGCGAGAGUAUAAAAUGUUCGGUUACACCCGAACUUAGCCCUUCCUUACUUGUUAAAUAUGCUUUUGUUUGAAAUUUUGAGCAAAUUGCAUUUGCACUUAAUAAAUUAACUAUUAAUUGCCAGCAAUAUUUCGAUAAUAACAGCAUUAUUAUGAAGGUGUUAAUGUUAAAUAAAUAUUAUAUUUUGAACAAAAAAAAAACGAUUUAAUUUCUAAACAAAAACAAAAUCAUAAAAUAUACUAAACUUAUAGCGCGAAUUAUUCAAUGUGAGCGAACGCAAAGACUUUCAAAAGAUUUUCCAGCCACUGCUCACUAUCGAAAACUAAGCGUGAAAACACAUACAAACACAUUUUUAUUAAUAUUGCUAUUGGUAAGAGAGGUAGAAAUAGGUUGGCGUUGAAAUAUAUAUUAGCGCAAUGGAAUGUGCCCCUAGGCAACACUGGUGGCUAUGGAAGUGGCAAAAUGAAGUGGAGGGUUGAUAUAGAAUGACGUACUGUGAAAUUGCUCACAAAAAUAUAUAUAUUACAAACUCACAUGUGUGUUGCUGGUUUAAGACACAUCAGUCAAACUAAGAAUACAUAAUAAUAUCUGAGUUGGCAGCACUGGCUGUGCACAUUCGAGUAUAUCUAUAGCAUAGUAUAGGAGAGUAGUUUCUGAGCAUACUAUUUAUUCGACACUUUCAAGUUUACUAUAAAAUUAUCUCAAUUCCUCUGAUUUCAUUGAAUUUGAAAAUAAUUAGAAACCGCCCAGUGCCGCCUCACCCAACGCCCAUUGUGACAGCUCUUAUUAUGUGAUUGCCAUCUGGUGUGAAUAAUAAAUGUUGCCAACACACACACAUACUCAUAAAUAAUGAUGCGCCUCUGCUAGAACGCCACAUAUGCCCCACAUAUUUUACGCACAAGCACUUGCCGCAGAAGCUGCUGGCACGAAGAGUGAGGGAGAGAGGCACGAUGUCCUUACGUUGGCGGUGUUUAUGCGAAAUUGAUGAAGAUGGUAUUAAGUGUCUGCGCAGAGGCAGGGUGCAUGCCCGCUAUGGGCUGGUGAAUUGACAAUGUUUGCACUUGUGAGUGGUAUUAUGGUCAUGACUUGCAUAGGCUGCAAGUGUUUUUUGGCAUUGUUUUUGUUGUUAAAUUACAUUGCAUAUUGUUGCCGACGCCGCCAAAAAUGCGCGCACACAUUUGUGAGCAAUCAUAAUUAUCAUAAAUUAUGACAGCUGCUAAAGAGUGGUGCUGUUGUUGUUGUUGCCAGCUUGCAGUUGGCAACGCAAGGUGCCUAUGGCGGAAUUCCAACGCUACACAAAUAUAUAUAGCAACAAGAGAAAUACUUGCAUUUGUUCGAAUAUUUUUCAAGCUGAAUAUUUGCUUUAUUUCUCUUUUCUUUUUUGUACUCAUGAAUUCGCCUAUUUUCGCCAGAAACUCUACUUGCGGCGCCGCGAAUGCGUUUUGUGGCGGCAAGAAUUUGUGCCAUAUAUUUCGUUUCUAAUUUAAAAUUUACAUUAAAUGGCUAAGGAGCAUGUGGAAGACGGACAAGAAAACAAAUAUGAAAGUUUAUUUUCUGAAAAGGCACAAACACUUCACCUGCCUACGGGUCUUGUUGUUGUCAGUGCGAAUUUCAUAUUCUUCACAUCAAAACUCAUUAUCUAUUUAUUUGGAUUUUAGCUAAUUACAUAUUUUUCCUCCUUAGUCAGUUGCAACGUUUGUUUGAAAAUGCAUUGCAUUGUUAAUUUGCGGUUAUAUUUGAUUUGAUAUGCAAUCGCCACCACAGCUACCACUGACAUUGGGGUUUGCGGUGAUUAAUAACAAAUUGAAAGCGCUGCAACAAAUAAUCGGAACUGCAAAUUUAUACAUUUUGCAUGCGUGUGUGUGCGUAAGUCUUACCGCAAGUAGCAGCAUAUGCGUGCGUUGCGGCUACUAGAGCGAUUUUCAGCUUAUAUUUGAGGUUUUAGUCGUUGCAUUGUGUGGCAAAUCUAAUUGGCGACGUUCCACGUAAACCCUGAAGGCGGGAUUACGUUAAUUGGCUGGGAGGUGUUGUUUGGCACGGUUUGUGGUUUGAGCUUGUUAUGACAUUAUCAUUAAGCCGCUGAUUAGUUAAGUGAUUUAUAUUGUUGAAAAAACGAAACUAGUAUGAGAACAUACAUUAUUUCAUAAUAUUGAAUGCUAUUUAAUAGUGGUUUAUUGCAGUUUAAUUAAGUGUUUAAUUAGCACAUUAUAUGUAGUUAAGCGGAAAUGAGUUUACACAUUAUAGAAUUAUGAAAUAAUAAUGAAAUUUAAUUAGUUAAAAGAACAAAAACGGAGAUAAGAACGAUAAAUACCAUUUAGAUGAAAGCAUUUAUAUUAUUAUUAUUUAUAAUUUAAUUAUUUUUUAUUAAUUGUUCUAUUCAGUUUGA